This 84-nucleotide transfer RNA is filed under the name Mycobacterium sp. 1164966.3. It matches the Rfam family "tRNA". Rfam says of the family: Transfer RNA (tRNA) molecules are approximately 80 nucleotides in length. Their secondary structure includes four short double-helical elements and three loops (D, anti-codon, and T loops). Further hydrogen bonds mediate the characteristic L-shaped molecular structure. tRNAs have two regions of fundamental functional importance: the anti-codon, which is responsible for specific mRNA codon recognition, and the 3' end, to which the tRNAs corresponding amino acid is attached (by aminoacyl-tRNA synthetases). tRNAs cope with the degeneracy of the genetic code in two manners: having more than one tRNA (with a specific anti-codon) for a particular amino acid; and 'wobble' base-pairing, i.e. permitting non-standard base-pairing at the 3rd anti-codon position. Lineage: Bacteria; Bacillati; Actinomycetota; Actinomycetes; Mycobacteriales; Mycobacteriaceae. The record is from Rfam by way of RNAcentral.
GCGGGCGUGGCGAAACCGGCAUACGCGAUGGCUUUAGGUGCCAUUGCUCGAAAGAGCGUGAGGGUUCGAGUCCCUCCGCCCGCA